This 962-nucleotide ribosomal RNA is filed under the name uncultured rumen bacterium. RNAcentral's name for it is "SSU rRNA". It matches the Rfam family "Eukaryotic small subunit ribosomal RNA", at positions 564 to 1676 of the family's 1831-position model. The record is from RNAcentral.
GUGCCAGCCGCCGCGGUAAUUCCAGCUCUGCAAGUUUGCUCCCAUAUUGUUGCAGUUAAAACGCCCGUAGUCUGAAUUUUCUUGAAAAAGAAUUAUUCCUUUUGGAGUUCACUGUGAACAAAACAGGACGCUUAGAGUAGGGUUUACUUGAAUGAUUUAGCGCAGUAUGAAAUUUUUACUUUUUUUGUAAGAUCAAUGAGGGCCAUCGGGGAUAAAUCUAUUACAUGGCGAGCGGUGGAAUGCUCUGACCCAUGUGAGAGAAACGAAAGCGAAGGCAUUUAUCUAGAGGGUUUCUGUCGAUCAAGGGCGAGAGUAGGAGUAUCCAACCGGAUUAGAGACCCGGGUAGUUCCUACCUUAAACGAUGCCGACAGGGGCUAGUUAUUUUAGAAUAGCUGGACCUUAGGAGAAAUCAUAGUUCUUGGGCUCUGGGGGAACUACGACCGCAAGGCUGAAACUUGAAGGAAUUGACGGAAGGGCACACCAGGGGUGGAGCCUGUGGCUUAAUUUGAAUCAACACGGGGAAACUUACCAGGACCAGAUGUUUUUUGUGACUGACAGGCUUUGGGUCUUUCAGGAUAUGACUUUUGGUGGUGCAUGGCCGUUGGUGGUGCGUGGGUUGACCUGUCUAGCGUUGAUUCAGCUAACGAGCGAGAUUAUCGCCAAUUAACUAGAAUGAAUUGCUUUUCAAUUUAUUUCUUCUAAUUGGGACUCCCUGCGAUUAAGCAGGAGGAAGAGGGUAGCAAUAACAGGUCCGUGAUGUCCUUUAGAUGCUCUGGGCUGCACGCGUGCUACAAUGUUAGUCUCAAUCGGAUUGCUAUCCUGAAAAGGUUAGCUACUCUGUGAAUGUCUAACGUAGUUGGGAUUGAUGAUUGUAAUCAUCAUCAUGAACCAGGAAUCCCUUGUAAAUGUGUGUCAUCAGCGCACGUUGAAUACGUCCCUGCCCUUUGUACACACCGCCCGU